GACGAACGCUGGCGGCGUGCCUAAUACAUGCAAGUAGAACGCACAGUUUAUACCGUAGCUUGCUACACCAUAGACUGUGAGUUGCGAACGGGUGAGUAACGCGUAGGUAACCUGCCUGGUAGCGGGGGAUAACUAUUGGAAACGAUAGCUAAUACCGCAUCAUAUUGAUUAUUGCAUGAUAAUUGAUUGAAAGAUGCUAUUGCAUCACUACCAGAUGGACCUGCGUUGUAUUAGCUAGUAGGUGAGGUAACGGCUCACCUAGGCGACGAUACAUAGCCGACCUGGGAGGGUUAUCGGCCACACUGGGACUGGGACACGGCCCAAACUCCUACGGGAGGCAGCAGUAGGGAAUCUUCGGCAAUGGACGAAAGUCUGACCGAGCAACGCCGCGUGAGUGAAGAAGGGUUUCGGAUCGUAAAGCUCUGUUGUAAGAGAAGAACGGGUGUGAGAGUGGAAAGUUCACACUGUGACGGUAGCUGACCAGAAAGGGACGGCUAACUACGUG
RNAcentral lists this ribosomal RNA (505 nucleotides) under uncultured bacterium. Its description in RNAcentral is "partial 16S ribosomal RNA". It matches the Rfam family "Bacterial small subunit ribosomal RNA", at positions 28 to 507 of the family's 1533-position model. The record is from RNAcentral.